UGGGCCAGGGAGCAGCUGGUGGCCACACCCCGUUUCCUGGCCCAC
Molecule: microRNA precursor, 45 nt
Filed under: Macaca fascicularis (crab-eating macaque)
Lineage: Eukaryota; Metazoa; Chordata; Mammalia; Primates; Cercopithecidae
Description: microRNA 4640
Source: RNAcentral